GAUGAACGCUAGCUACAGGCUUAACACAUGCAAGUCGAGGGGCAGCACUAGGUAGCAAUACUGAGGUGGCGACCGGCGCACGGGUGCGUAACGCGUAUCCAACCUUCCCGUUACUCUUGGAUAGCCUUUCCGAAAAGGGAGAUUAAUACAAGAUGGUAUUCAAAUUCCGCAUGUUAUUUGAAUUAAAGAUUUAUCGGUAACGGAUGGGGAUGCGUGACAUUAGAUAGUAGGCGGGGUAACGGCCCACCUAGUCUACGAUGUCUAGGGGGUUCUGAGAGGAAGGUCCCCCCANACUGGAACUGAGACACGGUCCAGACUCCUACGGGAGGCAGCAGUGAGGAAUAUUGGUCCAAUGGUCGGAAGACUGAACCAGCCAAGUAGCGUGAAGG
RNAcentral lists this ribosomal RNA (389 nucleotides) under uncultured bacterium. RNAcentral describes it as "bacterial SSU rRNA". It matches the Rfam family "Bacterial small subunit ribosomal RNA", at positions 28 to 407 of the family's 1533-position model. The record is from RNAcentral.